Molecule: unclassified non-coding RNA, 489 nt
Filed under: Hevea brasiliensis (rubber tree)
Lineage: Eukaryota; Viridiplantae; Streptophyta; Magnoliopsida; Malpighiales; Euphorbiaceae
Source: RNAcentral
AAAAAAAAAAAAAAAAAACAAUUACAAUUCUUCUAAAAUUAACCACAUAGGGAUUACAAGUACUAGGAGUGAGUGAUGAUCCUCUUAAAAAUUUUCUGCCCUGGUGCAAGGAUGGCCAUGGGAUCAAAAUUGGCCUUGUUUUCCACAAAUCUUGACCAUUGAUUUCCAAAGUGCCGUUUCCAGUCCUCUUGAGAUUGGUAGUGAGGGAGAUAUAGUUUGAAAUCAAAACCCUUCUUCAAGCAAAGAUGGGCAAUCUCUUGGUUUUGUGCCACCAAUUUUUCAACACAAGGACCCUUUGAGUAUGGAGGAGUGAAUCGGAGCAAUGCCACUAUGUAGAAGAUUUCCCCAUCGGCUGGUAUCAUCACAGACGUGCGAUUAUCCCACUUGCUUCGCAGCAGUGGGUACAUCAGCAUGGGCCCACCCACGCCUUCCUUCAAUAGCCUCUUGAACACCAUACGAUCGAAAUCGGCAAUAUCCCUCUUUGAUAUA